GACGAACGCUGGCGGCGUGCCUAACACAUGCAAGUCGAGCGAGGAGAGUUCCUUCGGGAACAAACCUAGCGGCGGACGGGUGGGUAACACGUGGGCAACCUGCCUUGUAGAGGGAAUAGCCUUCCGAAAAGGAAGAUUAAUACCGCAUAACAUUACAGUUUCGCAUGAAACAGUAAUUAAAGGAGUAAUCCGCUACAAGAUGGGCCCGCGGCGCAUUAGCUAGUUGGUGAGGUAACGGCUCACCAAGGCGACGAUGCGUAGCCGACCUGAGAGGGUGAUCGGCCACAUUGGGACUGAGACACGGCCCAGACUCCUACGGGAGGCAGCAGUGGGGAAUAUUGCACAAUGGGGGAAACCCUGAUGCAGCAACGCCGCGUGAGUGAUGAAGGUUUUCGGAUCGUAAAGCUCUGUCUUCGGGGACGAUAAUGACGGUACCCGAGGAGGAAGCCACGGCUAACUACGUG
RNAcentral lists this ribosomal RNA (464 nucleotides) under uncultured bacterium. RNAcentral describes it as "bacterial SSU rRNA". It matches the Rfam family "Bacterial small subunit ribosomal RNA", at positions 28 to 507 of the family's 1533-position model. The record is from RNAcentral.